GAUGAACGCUGGCGGCGUGCCUAAUACAUGCAAGUAGAACGCUGAAGGAGGAGCUUGCUCUUCUGGAUGAGUUGCGAACGGGUGAGUAACGCGUAGGUAACCUGCCUGGUAGCGGGGGAUAACUAUUGGAAACGAUAGCUAAUACCGCAUGACAACAGUUAUUGCAUGAUAACUGUUUAAAAGGGGCAACUGCUCCACUACCAGAUGGACCUGCGUUGUAUUAGCAAGUUGGUGAGGUAACGGCUCACCAAGGCGACGAUACAUAGCCGACCUGAGAGGGUGAUCGGCCACACUGGGACUGAGACACGGCCCAGACUCCUACGGGAGGCAGCAGUAGGGAAUCUUCGGCAAUGGACGGAAGUCUGACCGAGCAACGCCGCGUGAGUGAAGAAGGUUUUCGGAUCGUAAAGCUCUGUUGUAAGAGAAGAACGAGUGUGAGAGUGGAAAGUUCACACUGUGACGGUAUCUUACCAGAAAGGGACGGCUAACUACGUG
Molecule: ribosomal RNA, 495 nt
Filed under: uncultured bacterium
Lineage: Bacteria
Description: partial 16S ribosomal RNA
Rfam family: Bacterial small subunit ribosomal RNA
Source: RNAcentral